Helianthus annuus (common sunflower) is the source of this 906-nucleotide long non-coding RNA. RefSeq lists it as uncharacterized. The record is from RefSeq and is a predicted model, not a curated record. The transcript is spliced from 4 exons. NCBI's taxonomy places the organism in Eukaryota, Viridiplantae, Streptophyta, Magnoliopsida, Asterales, Asteraceae.
CUUUUAGAUCAGAUUUUUGGAUAUGACCCACUUUUUAAGCCCAUUAAUGAAAAAUUCCCGCUUAUACCUUCGCUCGUUUUCCCUUUCCCGCUGCUCACGAAAUCCCAGCCCUAAUAUCAGAGCAUGGAAAUUGAACAGCAAACAACCCAAUAAAGGAGUAGGCGACGACGACGGCGACGGCUGCGUUCCAGACGGUGGAUUUCGGCGGCUGCGUUCCAAACGGUGGUAAGUUUAUCAUCAAUCUCUAAUUGUUGAAAUCCUAAGUCUCCGCCGCACUCCAUCCGCCUUAAUCUCCGACGCCACUCCGAAAACGGCUGGAGAGGCUGCAAGAACUGCUGGAGUGGGAGCUUAUUCAAAUAGAUUAGGAGAACCUCCUAGCCAGGUUGAAGUUGGAGAUGUGGUCAGAGGUGACUGAGACAUUAGGGUCUUCAUAUGGGACAACGGGGGUGGCGUGCUUAUGGCUAUAAUGGCGGUGACCGGAGGUUUGAUUCCAGUGUAAAGGAGUAGGCGACGGCGACGAUAUAUCCUCAAGUCGGCGGCUGCGUUCCAGACGGUGGAUUACGACAGCUGAGUUCUAGACGGUGGUGAAACACAUACAAAUAUAACUAUGGAAGAAAAGCUGAAAACAUAGAGUCCCGUUUCGAACAAUUUCAACAAGAGCGCGAAAAAGAGCGGGCCGAUCAAGCUGCAUGACAAAAAACUAUGGAAGAAAAGCUGAAAAACAUCGGAAAUAAGUAAAAACUCUGGUCUUGUUAAGUAUUGAAAUGUUAAGAGUUCGGAUUAGUUUUGAAUGCUUGUAAUUUGGAUUUUUUGUGCGUUUUGGAAUAUUUUAGAAUUUCUACAAUGUUUGGAAUGUUUCAGAAUGUUGCUUUAAUAUUUUUGGAAGAUUUUAAAAUUUUGCUGCAA